Phyllostomus discolor (pale spear-nosed bat) is the source of this 3288-nucleotide long non-coding RNA. RefSeq lists it as uncharacterized. The transcript is spliced from 3 exons. Lineage: Eukaryota; Metazoa; Chordata; Mammalia; Chiroptera; Phyllostomidae. The record is from RefSeq and is a predicted model, not a curated record.
UUAAGAAAACAAGUAUCCUAUGAAAAUCCUAGUGCAAGAUAAAGCUGGGCCCCAGGAGAUCUAGAAGGUGGUUCUGGGUUCAAGGUGGGUAUGGGGAAUAGCUUAUCUGUCUCUCAGGGUAUCUUUGUUCCUCAUUACUAGCUUCCUCUGUUGACUCAUGGUUUCUCUCUCCUCAUAACACCAGUUUGUACAUGGCAUGACAUAACUGCUCCUCUCCCCAUCAUCUUUUGGCUCUGGUCCCUGCUGCAGAUGGUUUUAUUUAGUCUCUCAGUUUCCCAAUUCUAAUUUUGUAAGAGAGGAAUACAAAUGGUAUAGCUCAACUUGUCAAGCCCAUGUUGCUAGCCAGGUGAUAGAUGGGCUGUUUUGAAGACAGGUGGCCACUUUUCAUCAACGCAAGCCAGGGGGACAACAUGUUUGGCACAGCUCAUGACUGCUGCAACUCAGCACAGCUUGCACGGAGUGGUGCCUUCAAAGGAGAUGUGAACCAAAAGGCACAGUAAAAUAUAUAUGUAUAAGCCUUCUGCUUAGUAUGUAACUUGAAAGAUAAUGACGUGUCCAUUCAUGAGCUUCGAACACCCAUGUUCUUACUUUCUUAAUUAAGAGUAAAAAUAGCAUCUGACCCCAGCCCAAACCUCUUAGCCCCACUGCCAACUCCCUGAGGUAAAGAAAAAAGAAGAGGGCAGGAGAUAGACAAAUCCUGAUAAACUGACAGCACUAGCCUUAAAGCCAUCCCUCAGCAGGCAGUCUGUCAGUUUGCUUUACACACUAUGCUCACCUCAUCUUCUAAGUUUGUCCAAAUACCAUGUAAGGCCAGGGCUCAAUGUUAACUAAAAGAAGGGAAGCAGCAUCACAAACCAACAGAUGGCUAUUGAGAGUUUAUCGUUCUUGGGCUAUUUUAUUCCCUAGAGUUAUACAUGCAGGAGAGUAAAGCAUGCUAUUUUGACAGCCACCUAAUAACUACUGUCAGACACUUGUACUACUUCUCAAUUUAAGUUUCCCCUAGAUAACCUUUUCCCUUAUCAACUCCCUGUUUCAACAACAAUAAAUGCCACACCUGAUAUAGUCAAUAGGAGGUUUGCUACUGACAACUGCCUGGGCAGAGGAGGAAACAAACAAACAAACAAAAAAACCACUAACCACCAUUGACAACCCAUCUCACAAAGAGAGUUACAGAUGAAGAGAAAUUGAAAGGUUGCACACUCACUGCCUUGAAAACAGUGUUUCUCAAACUGAGAGCAGGACCUACUAUAAUUGAAGAAAUUCCAAAAAGUUUCAAAGACCAGAGCUGCUGCAAAGCCCUGAAGAAAUGUAAAAGAAUUUAACCUGUAUUCUUAUCUCACAAUUAUCCCUGAAUAACUUAGUUUAAGAGUUUUCUUGUAACUCUUAACAACAGUGAUUUUUAUCUUAUCAUUCCAAGUAAGUAAGUUAUGGCAGCUCUGCCGUGGGGAGUGGACAGAAUGGUGCUCUUUUGGUACUCAACAGGAACCAACGAUCAUUUUGUCCCAGGUGCCACCUAUCAUGCAUUCUUCAAAAUAGCUCUUCAAAAUCCCUUUCACUUUGUGCACACAAGGGACACCAUGUACCUAUUAAAAGGAAGGAAGUAGUACUAUAUGCACUGGCAUCCAAAUACAUUUUGGGUUUUGGGGGGUGACAGAACAUUCUCUGUUUUGAUUUUGGUGUAUACACUUGUCAAAACUGACAGAACAGUGUCCUUAAAAUGGUGAACUUUACUGUAUUAAAAUAUACCUUAUUAUUUAAAAUGGACAAAAAGCCACACUCAAAUGGCUUGUUCAUUUUAAUUAGAACAAUGGAUACUACAAAUGAUAUUUCUUGGGGGACCUCUUGGUGUUCCACACCAAGGCAGGGAUAAGUUAGGAAUAUUAGUCAGGCACUCCAAUCCUUGCAUGAAGAAGACUCUGGUUGGCCCAAUGUCCUUCACCCCUUGGAAUGCACCUUAGGGUCAGGAGUCCCAACAAAUCUUAUGUUCAGAAACUUUAUGAAGGACUAAGGUGUGCCCUCUGAUUAGAAGGUAAGCUGCAUCCUACCAUGAAAAUAUUGUCACAUCUGUCUCCAGUAAACUUUCACAUAAGAUAAUGGGUGAAAAAAAUAAGACAUGGAUUGUCUCUGGGCAUACAGAUUAGGCUGUAUGACUGUGUUGUGUCUGGUUAUUAAUGUACAUGUGGCAAAAUUUGAUCUGUAUUACUUUCACUGUAAUACAUGAAUUGUGGGGAAGAAAACUACAGCCUUCAUCUACCUCAAAUUAUUGGAGAUCAGUGACACCCACCAAAAUAAAAUCUAAUAACUGUGGACAACCAAACUGGCCUACUAGAUCAAUUUGUGACAAACAUUUCUUGGACUUCUGUACAAACAGGAAUGCAUCCAAUCUGAAAAUCCACUUUAAGUAAAGCCAAAAUCAAUGAAAUAAAAUAGAUCUACUUUCCUAAUCUGGCUGCAUGCCUAGCAGGGAUGAGGAAAUGAGAGUUUUUCAUGUGUGGUACUUAUUUACAAGUACAGUAGUCCCCCUCUAUCUGUGGGGCAUAAGUUCCAAGACCCCCAGUGAAUGCCUGAAACCUCAGAUAAUACUGAACCUUAUAUAUACUAUGUUUUUUCCUCUACAUACAUAACUAUGAUAAAGUUUAAUUUAUAAAUUAGGCACAGGAAGAGGUUAACAAAAAUGACUAAUAAUAAAACAGAACAAUUAUAACAAUAUACUUUAAUAAAUGUGGGCUCUUUCUCUCAAAAUACUUUAUUGUGCUAUACUCACCCUUCUUCAUGAGAUGACAUGAGAUGAUACAAUGCUUAUGUGAUGAGAUGAAGUGAGGUGAAUGAUGUAGGCAUUGGGACAUAGCAGUAGCCUACAACACUGCUUGAAUACAAGCACUGCGAUACAGCAAUAGUCAAUUUAAUAACCCAGACAGAUAGCUACUAAGUGACUAAAGGGCAGAGAGUGUACCUAGUGUGAAGAUGCUGGACAAAGGGAUGAUUCAAGUGCCAGGCAGAAUGGAGAAGAACAGUACAAGAUUUCAUCACACUGCUCAGAACAGCACAUAAUUUAAAACCCAUUAAUUGUUUUCAGGAAUUUUCCAUUUAACAUAUUCACACGGCAGUUGAAUGUGGGUAACUGAAACCAUGGAAAGUGAAGCCAUGGAUAAGUGGUGACUACUAUAAUACUAUUAAACGGAUUUGUUUCAUGGAAAGAUUUUCCAUUUAACCUGUUGCUCACCUAGGGUGUUUUAUGCAAAGGGUCAGAGUCAAACUUCACAACAUGGGUCUAGAAACAAAAGAUGA